RNAcentral lists this unclassified non-coding RNA (336 nucleotides) under soil metagenome. RNAcentral describes it as "partial contains 5.8S ribosomal RNA, internal transcribed spacer 2, and large subunit ribosomal RNA". The stretch from base 1 to 120 matches the Rfam family "5.8S ribosomal RNA", at positions 35 to 154 of the family's 154-position model. The record is from RNAcentral.
GAUGAAGAACGCAGCGAAAUGCGAUAAGUAAUGUGAAUUGCAGAAUUCAGUGAAUCAUCGAAUCUUUGAACGCACAUUGCGCCCGCCAGUAUUCUGGCGGGCAUGCCUGUUCGAGCGUCAUUUCAACCAUCAAGCCCCCGGCUUGUGUUGGGGACCUGCGGCUGCCGCAGGCCCUGAAAAGCAGUGGCGGGCUCGCUGUCACACCGAGCGUAGUAGCAUACAUCUCGCUCUGGGCGUGCUGCGGGUUCCGGCCGUUAAACCACCUUCAUAACCCAAGGUUGACCUCGGAUCAGGUAGGAAGACCAGCUGAACUUAAGCAUAUCAAUAAGCGGAGGA